UUGGUCUUACUGACUUUAAGAAUGAAGUUGCGGACUUUUGCGGUGAUCCACCCUACCACAUAUUGUCUCCUAAUGGCCGUCCAGUUUAUCCUGGAGCCCUUGCAUGACACAGGCCUAUCGAAGCAUAGGAGAUGCCAAUAUUUUACCUCUUGGGUACUUUCUGUGUAGAAGAUUCAUAACAAGAACAAUACUUAUUCUGCAAUUCUUUAUAUAAAGUAAGAAGAAAGCCCAAAGACAAAACCAGAGGCAACUGGCUGCUGCAUCGCCCACCUAGUGGCAGUAGUGUGAGCUAUGGACAAAAGAUCUAAGUCUCCAGGACAAAGAGUUGUGCAGCUGCUCAUUUUCCUGUUGACUUCUGUCUAAGACUUGGAGAUGUUUGUAAGAUUGGGACCUACCUACAGAGCUCCAGAGGGAAGUGAGAAGGAUGUUCACUUGCUGGUGAGAGAAGGAGCUGGUUCCAUCCAUUACGCAGUCCCCUGGGAGCGCUAAAUGCAACUUUAUCUCAACGGGGAGUGGACGAUGAGCAGGACGUCGCUAGAGGGAAAGAGUGAGUCCUACGGCCUCACUUCCCGUUUCCUUUGGCAGCGCCC
Molecule: long non-coding RNA, 590 nt
Organism: Homo sapiens (human)
Lineage: Eukaryota; Metazoa; Chordata; Mammalia; Primates; Hominidae
Gene: OBI1-AS1
Product: OBI1 antisense RNA 1
Source: Ensembl